Molecule: long non-coding RNA, 2004 nt
Organism: Puntigrus tetrazona (Sumatra barb)
Lineage: Eukaryota; Metazoa; Chordata; Actinopteri; Cypriniformes; Cyprinidae
Exons: 2
Source: RefSeq, a predicted model, not a curated record
GACAAUGUCAUUUGUGUGCCAUUUCCUGGCGGUUUUCUGGAGCUGUGUGGUGUCACAUGAAGAUCUGUGUUGUUUUGUGCUACUUUUGGACAUUUGUUUUGAGUAGAGUUAGUUUCCAUGUGCCUGGUUUCACCUGUUUUCAGAGAUCAGGCUCAGCCGGGAGCAUGUGAGGUCAGACUCUUCACAGCUUUCAGGGAUCAAAGCCCUCCUGCCAGCCAUCUCUCCCCUGGGCACAGUGCCCUCCUGACACCCCCUCCUUCUGCUGUCCAUCGUGGGAGGAAGACAGCUGCUGGGAAACUCUGAGCUACCUUUCAAAACCAGCAGGUCAAGGUUUGAUUGCUCUUCAUGGGUAGUUAGAAUUCGCCGGUACAGUAGAUGUCAUAACUACACCUUUAUGUGGGUUUGGGUGCUUCCGAGGGUCCUGUGCCAACCAAGAAACAGAUACCUUUCUCCAGGUAUAACAGACACUGAAAAAUAAAGAGAUACCAACAUAGACUCAUAAGCACGCCCAUUCAUAGGUUUGGGAUCAGUAUACAAUUUUUGUAUAAUAUUUCUACCAUUUAUUUAUUGUAGAAACUACCUUUUUCUGCAGAAAUUCAUUAAUAUAAACAAUUUUUCAAACAAACACGUAAUUUAAAAAUCGUUGCAUGAUUAUGUAUACGAAGUUUCCCAUCAGCACAUUUUACUAUGUGAAAGGGAUGUUGUGCAUUGCUGUGAUAUGGAUAACCUCACAGCUCAAACCGACUCAUGACUCCUUAAUACUCUGUGUGAACUCUGACCGUGUCUGUUACACAUUUUUCACUGUCACACUCUCCAUGCACACAGUGAUGCACUUUCAGAACUGCAAGAGCAAUGGAAAAUGACUGAUACGUCUGUAAAAUAAAAUAAAAUUAAAUAAAAUAAAAUUAAAUUAAAUUAAAUUAAAUUAAAAUAAAAUAAAAUAAAAUAAAAUAAAAUAAAGUAAAGUAAAAUAAAAUAAAAUAAAAUAAAAUAAAAUAAAAUAAAAUUUUAAUUAACACAUUUAAGUCCAGGAAUAUUUCAAACACAUGGAUUUCUGUUUAAAUUAAAUUUAAAAAUUGCUCUUUUAAUGUAGUUAAAGUUGUUAAUGGAGGUCUCGAAUAUGAACAUUUUGGCUGUUUUGACCGACUAUUGAUUUUAUCAGAACAUUUGCCAAUGAGGACAGUUUGAGAGAUUCAUCAAAUGUUUUCUGAAAGUUAUUUCUUGUGGUUGUUUAUCAGGAGAAACAUCAUGAUUUUGACAUCUCUCUCGGUGUAGAUGUGGCCCACAGACACCUGAUCCAGUAUCAGCAAUUAGCUCGCUGAGGGUGAUGUGGUCAUUUGUCUCCAUUUGCGCAAACUUCUGAACGCGUCCACCGUGAAAUUAGAGCCUACCAAUUGCUAACCAUAUCCUUCCACCACCGCCAAUCACAGCUUGCGUUUGGGUGUCUGCUAAAGUUUCUCAUUUUCUCCCGCAGCCUGUAUUUAGUGUUCGUGGGAACUCAGGGUCAGUCACCUUGGCGUCUCUCCUCCAUUCAAGGUCAAUACAGAUGUAGCCUGCGUAAAAACAAAAAGCGCUAACCUGUAUUUUAGACAAACUGUGAAACAUACAUUCAGCUGAUAGUGUUUUGAAUACUUGCACAGUGCGUCUGAAAUCUGAGAUCACAGAGCUGAUGUUAUGGUGUGCGCUUGUAGGCCGAGGAAGGUUACUUUAUCACGGGUUCCCUCAGUUUUUAAAACGGCUGCUAAAUUGACAAAUCAAACUUAACUAUUCUACAUGACCUUAUUCUACAUCCCUAAUCCUUCUCAAUACCUAAAAUGAUCAACUGCAUUACUAAUCAAUAAUAAACAGCAAAUUAAUCAUUUAAUGAGGGAAACGUUAGUAGUAAAUAGUAAUCAAUAUUAGCAUUGUUAUUAUUGUUAUCAUAAUUAAGACAUCUUAUAUUUAACAAGGAUGCAUUAAACUGAUAAAAAGGCACAUUUAUAAAUAAAAAAAUUGUAAAACUGC